UCAACCCCCUCGGGUUUUGCGACCCGUUGGGCGUUGGACUUGGGCGCUGCGUCCCGGCUCGCCUCAAAGGCUGUCAGCGAUGUCGUACCUCUUGCUGCGGAUGUCAUAAGUUUCAUCCCGGGCCAGGGCGAGGCUUGCUCCUAACCACCAAUCGUUUCCACUCUGACCUCAAAUCAGGUAGGGCUACCCGCUGAACUUAA
Molecule: unclassified non-coding RNA, 200 nt
Filed under: soil metagenome
Description: partial contains internal transcribed spacer 2 and large subunit ribosomal RNA
Source: RNAcentral